RNAcentral lists this transfer RNA (73 nucleotides) under Elusimicrobia bacterium GWA2_38_7. RNAcentral describes it as "tRNA-Lys". It matches the Rfam family "tRNA". From Rfam's summary of the family: Transfer RNA (tRNA) molecules are approximately 80 nucleotides in length. Their secondary structure includes four short double-helical elements and three loops (D, anti-codon, and T loops). Further hydrogen bonds mediate the characteristic L-shaped molecular structure. tRNAs have two regions of fundamental functional importance: the anti-codon, which is responsible for specific mRNA codon recognition, and the 3' end, to which the tRNAs corresponding amino acid is attached (by aminoacyl-tRNA synthetases). tRNAs cope with the degeneracy of the genetic code in two manners: having more than one tRNA (with a specific anti-codon) for a particular amino acid; and 'wobble' base-pairing, i.e. permitting non-standard base-pairing at the 3rd anti-codon position. The record is from RNAcentral. RNAcentral also lists the same sequence under 4 other names. Lineage: Bacteria; Pseudomonadati; Elusimicrobiota.
GAGCCCGUAGCUCAGUUGGUAGAGCACUCGACUUUUAAUCGAGUUGUCGAGGGUUCGAAUCCCUCCGGGCUCA